This 1532-nucleotide small RNA is filed under the name Pan troglodytes (chimpanzee). Its description in RNAcentral is "retained intron". Lineage: Eukaryota; Metazoa; Chordata; Mammalia; Primates; Hominidae. The record is from RNAcentral.
GCAGAACUAGGCGCGCCGCGGCCCGGCACGCGCAGGCGCACAGAGCUGCCCGGGGGUGCCAGUUCCUCUCCGAUUCCCGGCUUCUGUCACCUUCCUCACGGACCUUGGUCACGGCCGCAGGUGACCCCUUAGCCCAGCUCCAGUAGGCGGGUGGCAGGGUCAUGGAGGACGCUGGCGGCGGCGAGGAGACCCCGGCCCCGGAGGCCCCGCACCCCCCUCAGCUCGCGCCUCCGGAGGAGCAGGGGUUGCUCUUCCAGGAGGAAACCAUCGAUCUUGGCGGAGAUGAGUUUGGAUCCGAAGAGAACGAGACCGCAUCGGAAGGCUCGAGUCCUCUCGCGGACAAGCUGAACGAACACAUGAUGGAGAGCGUCCUCAUCUCUGACUCCCCCAACAGCGAGGGCGACGCGGGCGAGCUGGGCCGAGUGCGGGACGAAGCUGAGCCCGGAGGGGAAGGCGACCCAGGCCCGGAGCCCGCGGGCACCCCGAGUCCCAGCGGCGAGGCCGACGGCGACUGUGCCCCCGAGGACGCGGCACCCAGUAGCGGAGGGGCCCCGAGGCAGGACGCGGCCCGCGAGGUCCCAGGCAGCGAAGCCGCGCGCCCGGAGCAGGAGCCUCCCGUUGCGGAGCCGGUCCCGGUGUGCACCAUCUUCAGCCAGCGCGCGCCCCCAGCCUCCGGGGACGGCUUCGAGCCGCAGAUGGUGAAGUCGCCCAGCUUCGGUGGCGCCAGCGAGGCCUCGGCCAGGACACCGCCCCAGGUCGUGCAGCCCAGCCCCAGCCUCAGCACGUUCUUCGGAGACACGGCCGCCAGCCACUCCUUGGCCUCGGACUUCUUCGACUCCUUCACUACCUCCGCCUUCAUUUCCGUCAGCAAUCCCGGCGCGGGAUCCCCGGCCCCCGCCAGCCCGCCUCCCCUCGCUGUGCCUGGGACCGAGGGGCGCCCCCAACCCGUGGCCAUGCGAGGGCCCCAGGCAGCUGCGCCCCCGGCGUCGCCAGAGCCUUUCGCGCACAUCCAGGCAGUGUUUGCAGGGAGUGACGACCCCUUUGCCACCGCCCUGAGCAUGAGCGAGAUGGACCGGAGGAACGACGCCUGGCUUCCCGGGGAGGCUACGCGUGGAGUCCUGCGGGCCGUGGCCACCCAGCAGCGCGGCGCCGUGUUCGUGGACAAGGAGAACCUCACCAUGCCGGGCCUCAGGUUCGACAACAUCCAGGUGAGCCCGGGUCUCCCACCUCCGCAGCUCGUGCCUCCUCCCUGCGUCUGUGAGAUACGCACAGUGCCCCUCAAGGGAUGGAGAAGGCCGUGUUUUCAGUAGUUCCUGACAUCCCAUUGUGAGCGUCUGUGUUCCUCCGUCCCUGGGUAAUUAGGGAUCUGUUGGUUUCCCCAACAGAACAUAUUUAAUGGACUGCUACUCAGAGAGGUGGAAAUAAAUACCACCAAGGCAGACAGUUCUACCGUAAUUCUCUCAGUCAGUUCUCCAUGUCCUGUAAUCCAUUUGACAUUUGAACUCCAGUUAAUAAUAAAUCCAUUUCUUUCU